GUUCCAAACUGCAAACCAGCAUAUGGAGCAAUCUCAACUAGUGUAGGUGUCAAUCCAGCAUAGAGUCCUGGAACACCCCGAGCUCUGAAUAUGUCAAUGAAUGCAGACCUCAUGUUUCGAUAAAUCUUUGGCUCCCCUUGGGAGGCUAAAAUGGUUCUCAGGAGAUCAAAUGGAUAUGAACCAACAGUAGCUGCACAUCCUGCUAAUGCUCCGCUGAUAU
This 220-nucleotide unclassified non-coding RNA is filed under the name Hevea brasiliensis (rubber tree). Lineage: Eukaryota; Viridiplantae; Streptophyta; Magnoliopsida; Malpighiales; Euphorbiaceae. The record is from RNAcentral.